AAAUUUAGAUGUUUUACCUAAGACAGUAGGAGUCUAAGACUUAAAACACAAUCCUACCGAGGCAAACAAAAAUGACUUGUAUAUUAUUUAUAAAUAUAUGAGCACUUUUUGCCCUGGGUAAAAGGUGCUUUUUUUAUUG
This 139-nucleotide small RNA is filed under the name Nosocomiicoccus ampullae. Its description in RNAcentral is "Ribosomal protein L10 leader". It matches the Rfam family "Ribosomal protein L10 leader". From Rfam's summary of the family: This family is a putative r-protein leader autoregulatory structure found in B. subtilis and other low-GC Gram-positive bacteria. It is located in the 5' untranslated regions of mRNAs encoding ribosomal proteins L10 and L12 (rplJ-rplL). A Rho-independent transcription terminator structure that is probably involved in regulation is included at the 3' end. Lineage: Bacteria; Bacillati; Bacillota; Bacilli; Caryophanales; Staphylococcaceae. RNAcentral also lists the same sequence under 1 other name. The record is from RNAcentral.